CCUACGGGAGACAGCAGUGGGGAAUAUUGGACAAUGGGGGCAACCCUGAUCCAGCCAUGCCGCGUGUGUGAAGAAGGCCCUCGGGUUGUAAAGCACUUUCAGUGAGGAAGAACGCCUGGUGGUUAAUACCCAUCAGGAAAGACAUCACUCACAGAAGAAGCACCGGCUAACUCCGUGCCAGCAGCCGCGGUAAUACGGAGGGUGCGAGCGUUAAUCGGAAUUACUGGGCGUAAAGCGCGCGUAGGUGGCUUGAUAAGCCGGUUGUGAAAGCCCCGGGCUCAACCUGGGAACGGCAUCCGGAACUGUCAAGCUAGAGUGCAGGAGAGGAAGGUAGAAUUCCCGGUGUAGCGGUGAAAUGCGUAGAGAUCGGGAGGAAUACCAGUGGCGAAGGCGGCCUUCUGGACUGACACUGACACUGAGGUGCGAAAGCGUGGGUAGCAAACAGGAUUAGAUACCCCAGUAGUC
This 465-nucleotide ribosomal RNA is filed under the name Vreelandella stevensii. RNAcentral's name for it is "partial 16S ribosomal RNA". It matches the Rfam family "Bacterial small subunit ribosomal RNA", at positions 338 to 795 of the family's 1533-position model. Lineage: Bacteria; Pseudomonadati; Pseudomonadota; Gammaproteobacteria; Oceanospirillales; Halomonadaceae. The record is from RNAcentral.